RNAcentral lists this ribosomal RNA (254 nucleotides) under uncultured bacterium. Its description in RNAcentral is "partial 16S ribosomal RNA". It matches the Rfam family "Bacterial small subunit ribosomal RNA", at positions 524 to 777 of the family's 1533-position model. The record is from RNAcentral.
UACGAAGGGGGCUAGCGUUGCUCGGAAUUACUGGGCGUAAAGCGCACGUAGGCGGUCUUUUAAGUCGGGGGUGAAAUCCUGGAGCUCAACUCCAGAACUGCCUUCGAUACUGGAAGACUCGAGUCCGGGAGAGGUGAGUGGAACUGCGAGUGUAGAGGUGAAAUUCGUAGAUAUUCGCAAGAACACCAGUGGCGAAGGCGGCUCACUGGCCCGGAACUGACGCUGAGACGCGAAAGCGUGGGGAGCAAACAGGG